GUCCCUGUAGCUUACAAUAAAGCAUGGCACUGAAGAUGCCAAGAUGGCUCAACAUUCACCCCAGGGACA
RNAcentral lists this transfer RNA (69 nucleotides) under Patagioenas fasciata (band-tailed pigeon). RNAcentral's name for it is "tRNA-Phe". RNAcentral also lists the same sequence under 1 other name. The record is from RNAcentral. Lineage: Eukaryota; Metazoa; Chordata; Aves; Columbiformes; Columbidae.